This 118-nucleotide ribosomal RNA is filed under the name Pteropus alecto (black flying fox). RNAcentral also lists the same sequence under 1 other name. Lineage: Eukaryota; Metazoa; Chordata; Mammalia; Chiroptera; Pteropodidae. The record is from RNAcentral.
GUCUAUGGCGAUGCCACCCUGACUGUGCCCAAUCUCAUCUGAUCUCAGAAGCUAAGCAGGGUCGGGCCUGGUUAGUACUUGGAUGGAGACCACCUAGGAAUACCAGGUGGGGUAGGCA